Molecule: long non-coding RNA, 212 nt
Filed under: Carica papaya (papaya)
Lineage: Eukaryota; Viridiplantae; Streptophyta; Magnoliopsida; Brassicales; Caricaceae
Description: long non-coding RNA (CPAP_LNC001653)
Source: RNAcentral
CUAACCCAAGCCACUAGAUCCCCUACUAGAGAAGAAGACCAGUCGCUGGAAAAAAGCCGACCGCCGCCGCUGCUGCGCCGGAGCCACUUCCGACCUCCAAAAGAGGUAAAAAAAUUUCAUUUACUCAAAAUUCAAUUUUAAACAUUCCCAUGGGCCAAAUUAGAGCAAAAGACCUAUGGAUUAGCUGAAAACCAUGAGCAAAGCUCAGCGGC